AUGGCUGAUGAACAAAGCCGGCAGGCUUGCCCUCGUCAAGUCCGUUCUCUGCGCGAUCCCGGUGCACCAGUUGCUUGCUUUUGCCCCCACGAAGAAAACUCUGCGGCAGCUCGAGAAGAUUCAACGGGGAUUCUUAUGGGCUGGGCGAGCCGUCGCCAAUGGCGGUCACUGCCAUGUGAACUGGCGCCUUGUCUCCCGCCCCCUCGAACUUGGAGGUCUCGGGGUUCGUGA
This 231-nucleotide ribosomal RNA is filed under the name Triticum aestivum (bread wheat). Its description in RNAcentral is "partial small subunit ribosomal RNA". Lineage: Eukaryota; Viridiplantae; Streptophyta; Magnoliopsida; Poales; Poaceae. The record is from RNAcentral.